AGGGAUAGUGUGGUUGACUGAGAGGGCAUUUUUGUCAUUAUACAUCGGUAACAAGUCUUGAUAGGCUCUUAAGGCCAGUCUUGGGUUAUAUAACAAGGCAUCUCCCUUU
This 109-nucleotide small RNA is filed under the name Arabidopsis thaliana (thale cress). RNAcentral describes it as "ATSL113660". Lineage: Eukaryota; Viridiplantae; Streptophyta; Magnoliopsida; Brassicales; Brassicaceae. The record is from RNAcentral.